CCUACGGGAGGCAGCAGUGGGGAAUAUUGGACAAUGGGGGGAACCCUGAUCCAGCCAUGCCGCGUGUGUGAAGAAGGCCCUCGGGUUGUAAAGCACUUUCAGUGAGGAAGAACGCCUGGUGGUUAAUACCCAUCAGGAAAGACAUCACUCACAGAAGAAGCACCGGCUAACUCCGUGCCAGCAGCCGCGGUAAUACAGAGGGUGCGAGCGUUAAUCGGAAUUACUGGGCGUAAAGCGCGCGUAGGUGGCUUGAUAAGCCGGUUGUGAAAGCCCCGGGCUCAACCUGGGAACGGCAUCCGGAACUGUCAAGCUAGAGUGCAGGAGAGGAAGGUAGAAUUCCCGGUGUAGCGGUGAAAUGCGUAGAGAUCGGGAGGAAUACCAGUGGCGAAGGCGGCCUUCUGGACUGACACUGACACUGAGGUGCGAAAGCGUGGGUAGCAAACAGGAUUAGAUACCCGAGUAGUC
This 465-nucleotide ribosomal RNA is filed under the name Vreelandella stevensii. Its description in RNAcentral is "partial 16S ribosomal RNA". It matches the Rfam family "Bacterial small subunit ribosomal RNA", at positions 338 to 795 of the family's 1533-position model. The record is from RNAcentral. Lineage: Bacteria; Pseudomonadati; Pseudomonadota; Gammaproteobacteria; Oceanospirillales; Halomonadaceae.